This is a long non-coding RNA of Branchiostoma floridae (Florida lancelet), 809 nucleotides long. RefSeq lists it as uncharacterized. The transcript has 2 exons. NCBI's taxonomy places the organism in Eukaryota, Metazoa, Chordata, Leptocardii, Amphioxiformes, Branchiostomatidae. The record is from RefSeq and is a predicted model, not a curated record.
UGCCGGCUGAAGUAAAGAAGCUCUGCUUCUUUCUGGGAAGGCCACUGACUGACGAGACAGUACAGGCAGUGGUCGGUGCGACACAGUUCGACUCCAUGAAAAAGACUUUUGGAGAAAAAGGACAAAGGAAUACAAGGAAGGGAGUCAUCGGAGACUGGAAGAACUACUUCAGUGACGACCAGAGCCGAGCUUAUGAUGAGCAGUACCGUGAGAGGCUGUCCAACACCGGGCUGGAAUUUCAAUUUGAGUAAUCAGUUAACAGCGAAAUCAUUAUUCCGUUUUUGACCUAACUGUAAAUCGAACAAAUUUUAAAGCAGUUUCAAAAUGGGCAAAUAUAACCAUAUAGUGCAAAAUAAGUCAAAGAAUGUCAAAGUCGAUUCCAAGGUCAAAGAUGUGAAAAACAAUAAUAAAGAAUAUGUUUUGUUCGGUAUAUCAUACUCUAAUUGUUCAUGGUCAUUCAAGCAGAGGUAGACCACGCAAAACACGUACAUCAAAUUUGUGAUGAUUCUGGCUGCUCGGCUGAAGAACUGCCCAAGGCUAUGGAGGAUAGGGAAGGAUGGAGGAAGAGAGUCAUGUUCAUCCGUGCAACCAGCACGCCUGAAUGAAGAUGAUAAUGAUAUGUUCGGUCAUUUGUUCAACCGUUUGUUCAAAUUUCUGACAACUUGUCAUGGUAGCCGGUUGUUUACACCCAUAUCUUUAUCAAAUUCAGUAGUUAAAAGCAUCGUACGUAUUUUGGAAUCUUGAAGAACAAGUCACACUAGUGUAGUUUUGUACAAGUCGAAAUAAAGUAUUUAGCUGAAUCACUGUGA